UCCCCCGUGAGGGGGCAGUCUCGCCUGACAUAUAAAACAGGCAACGCGGGUUGCGUUCGUUACCCCACUGAAGGGAACAACUCAAGCCACGAACUGACGACGACCAUGCAUCACCUGCCCAACUGUCUUGCGACGGCAGAAGUUUCCUAAUGCCUUCAGUUGAGUUUCAAACCCUGGUGAGGUUCUUCGUUUGCCAUCGAAUUGAGCCGCAUGAUCCACCGCUUGUGCAAGUCCCCGUCUAUUCCUUUGAGUUUUAAUCUUGCGAUCGUACUACCCAGGCGCCGAACUUAACGCGUUAGCUACGUCUCGAAGAGGGUCGAUACUCCUCAAAACUAGUUCGGAUCGUUUAGGGCGUGGACUAC
Molecule: unclassified non-coding RNA, 362 nt
Filed under: uncultured bacterium
Lineage: Bacteria
Description: contains 16S-23S intergenic spacer region
Source: RNAcentral